GACUCGUGGCGAAAAGCUCAGUAACACGUGGCCAAACUACCCUGUGGACCAGAAUAACCUCGGGAAACUGAGGCUAAUGCUGGAUAGCGCCCGCAUCCUGGAACUGGAGCGGGUGUCAAACGUUCCGGCGCCACAGGAUGUGGCUGCGGCCGAUUAGGUAGACGGUGGGGUAACGGCCCACCGUGCCGAUAAUCGGUACGGGUCAUGAGAGUGAGAGCCCGGAGACGGUAUCUGAGACAAGAUACCGGGCCCUACGGGGCGCAGCAGGCGCGAAACCUUUACACUGCACGACAGUGCGAUAGGGGGACCCCGAGUGCGAGGGCAUACAGUCCUCGCUUUUCUGUACCGUAAGGAGGUACAGGAAUAAGUGCUGGGCAAGACCGGUGCCAGCCGCCGCGGUAAUACCGGCAGCACGAGUGAUGGCCGAUCUUAUUGGGCCUAAAGCGUCCGUAGCCGGCCAGACAGGUCCGUCGGGAAAUCUGCGCGCCCAACGCGCAGGCGUCCGGCGGAAACCAGCUGGCUUGGGGCCGGAAGAUCCAGGGGGUACGUCCGGGGUAGGAGUGAAAUCCCGUAAUCCCGGACGGACCACCGGUGGCGAAAGCGCCCUGGAAGGACGGACCCGACGGUGAGGGACGAAAGCUAGGGUCACGAACCGGAUUAGAUACCCGGGUAGUCCUAGCCGUAA
Molecule: ribosomal RNA, 685 nt
Filed under: uncultured euryarchaeote
Lineage: Archaea; Methanobacteriati; Methanobacteriota
Description: bacterial SSU rRNA
Rfam family: Archaeal small subunit ribosomal RNA
Source: RNAcentral